RNAcentral lists this unclassified non-coding RNA (240 nucleotides) under Glomeraceae sp. RNAcentral's name for it is "partial contains 5.8S ribosomal RNA and internal transcribed spacer 2". The stretch from base 1 to 65 matches the Rfam family "5.8S ribosomal RNA", at positions 84 to 154 of the family's 154-position model. Lineage: Eukaryota; Fungi; Glomeromycota; Glomeromycetes; Glomerales; Glomeraceae. The record is from RNAcentral.
GUGAAUCAUCAAAUUUUUGAACGCAAAUUGCACUCUCUUCGGAGAGUAGGCCUGUGUGAGGGUCAGUAUUAAUAAAAAUCGGUGUGUUGCUUCUUUGUGACGUUUUGGUGUUUGGGUCAUGUUAAUAUCCUUUAGGAUUUAAGUGGCUUAAAGUUGACUUUUUUUGCGCAUUUUAGAUGUACAUGAAUUCUUUUUUUUAUUCGUCUGUCUCAAUGCUCAAUAUUCUAUUAGAUGAGCCCA